Molecule: unclassified non-coding RNA, 336 nt
Filed under: soil metagenome
Description: partial contains 5.8S ribosomal RNA, internal transcribed spacer 2, and large subunit ribosomal RNA
Rfam family: 5.8S ribosomal RNA (bases 1-119)
Source: RNAcentral
AUGAAGAACGUAGCGAAAUGCGAUAAGUAGUGUGAAUUGCAGAAUUCAGUGAAUCAUCGAAUCUUUGAACGCACAUUGCGCCCUUUGGUAUUCCUUAGGGCAUGCCUGUUCGAGCAUCAUUUACAAAUUCAAGCUCAGCUUGGUGAUGGGUGUCUGUCCCGCCUUUGCGUGUGGACUCGCCUCAAAUGCAGUUGGCAGCUUGUUCCUCGGCUCUAAACGCAGCAGAUUUGCGUCGAGCGUCGUGCGGACGGGCUCUCCAGUAAGCAAACCCCCACAAAUUGACCUCGGAUCAGGUAGGGAUACCCGCUGAACUUAAGCAUAUCAAUAAGCGGAGGA